ACCUAAAUCCAUUUGUGAAAAUUCUUAAGCCUCCGUUGAUGAUGGUUUGAAAGUGUUUGGCUCCUUGUUCCUUAAUCCUAACUUCAAGAUUGUCUUGAAGUUAUCCAAGAGUUUCACAAGAGUGUUUCACAAGAAUUUCUUCCAAACAACAAUAACCAAAUUGGAGUAUAGUUUUCCAUAAAAAUAUGCAAGACAAGAAAAA
RNAcentral lists this long non-coding RNA (202 nucleotides) under Nicotiana benthamiana. Its description in RNAcentral is "long non-coding RNA (NBEN_LNC012770)". The record is from RNAcentral. Lineage: Eukaryota; Viridiplantae; Streptophyta; Magnoliopsida; Solanales; Solanaceae.